Molecule: non-coding RNA, 340 nt
Organism: Solanum lycopersicum (tomato)
Lineage: Eukaryota; Viridiplantae; Streptophyta; Magnoliopsida; Solanales; Solanaceae
Source: RefSeq, a predicted model, not a curated record
CAUAUGAAGAAAUACCUUUACAGUGUUAACGUAUAGCUUUGGACCCAUCAAAGUGAACUGCAAGGAUGGAGAGGCCUGUUUUCUGUGGCGAUGACCAAGAGGAAGAUCACCAUAUGCUGGAGCCCACUGCCGAGGUAUACUCGGUGAAGAACACCAUUUCCACCAGAAGAAUAAAGCAACAAUGAAAUAGACAUACUCACAUCGCAGGUAAAGAUUAAUUGCAUGGCUUAAAAAUCCACUGCCCCUUACACCACUCAAAAGUGAAGCGAUUGGCACAAACGACAUUGAUAUAGCAUUGGGGGACUGUGAUACAGUAGGAAGCCACUGGCUAUGACUUUGA